This 497-nucleotide ribosomal RNA is filed under the name uncultured bacterium. RNAcentral's name for it is "partial 16S ribosomal RNA". It matches the Rfam family "Bacterial small subunit ribosomal RNA", at positions 28 to 507 of the family's 1533-position model. The record is from RNAcentral.
GAUGAACGCUGGCGGCGUGCCUAAUACAUGCAAGUCGAGCGAACAGACGAGGAGCUUGCUCCUCUGACGUUAGCGGCGGACGGGUGAGUAACACGUGGAUAACCUACCUAUAAGACUGGGAUAACUUCGGGAAACCGGAGCUAAUACCGGAUAAUAUAUUGAACCGCAUGGUUCAAUAGUGAAAGACGGUUUUGCUGUCACUUAUAGAUGGAUCCGCGCCGCAUUAGCUAGUUGGUAAGGUAACGGCUUACCAAGGCAACGAUGCGUAGCCGACGUGAGAGGGUGAUCGGCCACACGGGAACUGAGACACGGUCCAGACUCCUACGGGAGGCAGCAGUAGGGAAUCUUCCGCAAUGGGCGAAAGCCUGACGGAGCAACGCCGCGUGAGUGAUGAAGGUCUUCGGAUCGUAAAACUCUGUUAUUAGGGAAGAACAAAUGUGUAAGUAACUAUGCACGUCUUGACGGUACCUAAUCAGAAAGCCACGGCUAACUACGUG